RNAcentral lists this ribosomal RNA (468 nucleotides) under uncultured bacterium. Its description in RNAcentral is "partial 16S ribosomal RNA". It matches the Rfam family "Bacterial small subunit ribosomal RNA", at positions 28 to 507 of the family's 1533-position model. The record is from RNAcentral.
GACGAACGCUGGCGGCGUGCUUAACACAUGCAAGUCGAACGGAAAGGCCCUGCUUUUGUGGGGUGCUCGAGUGGUGAACGGGUGAGUAACACGUGAGUAACCUGCCCUUGACUUUGGGAUAACUUCAGGAAACUGGGGCUAAUACCGGAUAGGAGCUCCUGCUGCAUGGUGGGGGUUGGAAAGUUUCGGCGGUUGGGGAUGGACUCGCGGCUUAUCAGCUUGUUGGUGGGGUAGUGGCUUACCAAGGCUUUGACGGGUAGCCGGCCUGAGAGGGUGACCGGCCACAUUGGGACUGAGAUACGGCCCAGACUCCUACGGGAGGCAGCAGUGGGGAAUAUUGCACAAUGGGCGGGAGCCUGAUGCAGCAACGCCGCGUGCGGGAUGACGGCCUUCGGGUUGUAAACCGCUUUCGCCUGUGACGAAGCGUGAGUGACGGUAAUGGGUAAAGAAGCACCGGCUAACUACGUG